Molecule: ribosomal RNA, 392 nt
Filed under: uncultured bacterium
Lineage: Bacteria
Description: partial 16S ribosomal RNA
Rfam family: Bacterial small subunit ribosomal RNA
Source: RNAcentral
CUACGGAGGAACCGAGCGUUAUCCGGAUUUAUUGGGUUUAAAGGGUGCGCAGGCGGCCAUUUAAGUCAGCGGUUAAAUCGUGGGGCUCAACCCCAUUCUGCCGUUGAUACUGGGUGGCUUGAUUGCGGUCGAGGUUGGCGGAAUUCGUUGUGUAGCGGUGAAAUGCAUAGAUAUGACGAAGAACACCGGUUGCGUAGGCAGCUGACCAGACCGCAAAUGACGCUCAUGCACGAGAGUGCGGGGAUCGAACAGGAUUAGAUACCCUGGUAGUCCGCACAGUAAACGAUGAAUACUUGUUUUCGGCGAUAUAAUGUCGGAGGCAAAGCGAAAGCGAUAAGUAUUCCGCCUGGGGAGUACGCCGGCAACGGUGAAACUCAAAGGAAUUGACGGGG